ACAGUGCUCUGUGCCAUCCAGGGACCAGCCGUGUGCUCUCGAGUUACUGGAGCAGCGCAAGCAGCUCCAGUGGUCUCAGCUGUGGAGACAGCUGUUUGCCCACCGUCUGCGAUAGCAGAAAUGUGUGGUCCCAAUUUGGGCCCCGAGUCUGCUGGAGAAAAGAGAAAGGCUGAGAAGCAGCCUACUUUACCUGUGGCUCUGGGUCUGAGGACGGCCAGGAGAACAGAGAGCAAAGCAGAGCCAAUGCAAGACCUCUGGCCCUGGAAGCUGAAGGGUCUCUCACAGGUCAAUGCUGGAUCUACUCCAUCAUCAUCUUCACUAGCACAUCCAGUUCGAUUGAGGAACCUUGACGUGGGAUAUUGAUGGGAUAUUGAGAGAAAAGAGAAAUGGUGAAUCAAGCACUAAUCUCAAAGCUUCUGCACAGAACUACUUACAUGCCACUUCCUCCCAUGACUAUUGCUAAAUUCAGCCGAAAGGGGACACAUAAUCUCUUAGGGGGGAGGGCACCACGGGGAGAGAAACCCAAAUAUUUGGUGAAUAGUAACACAAUCUACUUUGUUAUAGAAUCUGUCCUCAAUGGUCUUACACUCUAAGAGCAUUACAUUUAGUUAUAGUAGUCUUAAAUAUGAUACUAAAUGAAUUGAAUAGCCAGACAUCUGUGAAAGUAAAACUGUGAUAAUACAAAGUCUGUGCUUUUAAGUUUCAAUUGCUUAAGGCUAUUUGGAAGUAAGAAUCACAUGAGUUCAGAGCCCCAGGAUUCAAAAAUAACUCCAGAAUCUUUUAUCACUCCCCAAAGGAAAAGCAAUAAUAAGUAAGUUACCAGACAUUCAUGUAAUCCCUCUGAAACUGUAAGACUAACAAAGGAAAAUUUUCAAAAGGCAAAAAUACUUUAUUAUUUAUUUGCGAUAGAAAUUAUUCAGCCAGGCGCGGUGGCUCACGCCUGUAAUCCCAGCACUUUGGGAGGCCGAGGCGGGUGGAUCACCUGAAGUUGGGAGUUUGAGACCAGCCUGAACAACAUAGAGAAACCCUGUCUCUACUAAAAAUACAAAAUUAACUGGGAGUGGUGGCACAUGCCUGCAAGCCCAGCUACUCAGGAUAUAAGGCAGGAGAAUUAUUUGAACCCGAGAGGUGGAGGUUGCAGUGAGCCAAGAUUGCACCAUUGCACUCCAGCCUGGGCGACAGAGCAAGACUCCAUCUCAAAAAAAAAAAAAAAAAAAGAAAGAAAGAAGAAAGAAAGAAAGGAAAAAAGAAAAGAAAAGAAACAAAGAAAUUUUUCAGUAAAUACAUACAACAGCAUUGAUGGCCUGGAGACAUACCACCUUCAGUUGUGGUCCUGGCAGAUGUGAUAGAUUCUACAAGGUUGGACAGGUUAAAUUCUUGCAAGGAAGUCCUUUCUGGAACACCCAAGAGUUACAGAAAGUUUAGCUAUCUUUCAGAUGAGAUUUCAUUCUCAGUUUUACUUGUUCCAUGACCCUUCCAAACUACACACAGGAUUCUUUUCAUUCAGUUGCCUUGGCCAACAUUUUAUCUCCAAUAAUCCUAUUUUAUGGAACUGAGUUUGCCUUGCCCUUUACUGCAUUUAGGUAAAUAGAAUGGUCUUUUUUAGACUUCUGAAACUAUUUGUAGACCUUUGCCUUCACAAGUUUGAAAUAAGUGUGAGGCAUUAAUUUUAUUCAGACAACACUGAGCCCAAUUCACUUGCGAAAAUGCAUCUCGAUGUGUAAUUCAUCAUCCAGAGCCUGUCCACUAUUCUGUUCCUCCCUGAGAGUAAAUUAGGCACUUUGAAAGGUGCAUUAAACUCUUCCUGGCUACUAGGUACCAUUUAGAACUGUGGGGCAAUAAUUUACUUAAUGGUACCUUGGUGACCUCAAAAAGUUUAUAUUGUUUUGAAAGUUCUUAAUUUUCUCCCACUAAAUAAUUUAUGCAUUCAGAGGUUGGGUGUGCUUAUAAAUAUGUUUCCAGAGAGACAACAGCUAUUGAAUAGAAUAAAUAAGAUAAAAUCGUCAUGCUAGUGUAGAAAUUAAAUGUUCACAAAUGUGUUAUCUAGCCUAUCCAUAGAAUAAAAGUAUAGCUUAUAAAACAAUUAUUGCUUUGGAUUUCAUUUUUUAAAUUUAUAAGACUGUGUUACAUUUUAUUGUAAUUAGUAAUGCUUCAUAGCCAUAAAGAUUUCCAGAUCCAUAUCACUGCAUUUUUCCAUAGCACAAAACACAUUUAUCCAAAGUUAAAAUACUAUGCUAAACAUACUGAAGGUUCUGACAGACAUUUAUAUUUCCCUUCAUUCUUUCAUUCACAGCAGAGUUUCAUCCAUAUUAAAUAAAUUGGUUAAGUUUUGAUACCUCGUACUUUAAUCACUCAUCUUAUAUACUAAAAUGAAUCAAAUUAAGCUCGAGCCAACAAAUAAAAGUGAUAUGCUUUGA
Molecule: long non-coding RNA, 2417 nt
Filed under: Pongo abelii (Sumatran orangutan)
Lineage: Eukaryota; Metazoa; Chordata; Mammalia; Primates; Hominidae
Description: lincRNA
Source: RNAcentral